This 253-nucleotide ribosomal RNA is filed under the name uncultured bacterium. RNAcentral describes it as "partial 16S ribosomal RNA". It matches the Rfam family "Bacterial small subunit ribosomal RNA", at positions 524 to 776 of the family's 1533-position model. The record is from RNAcentral.
UACAGAGGUGCCAAGCGUUAGGCGGAAUCACUGGGCUUAAAGCGUGUGUAGGCGGAUCGUUAAGUGCCUUGUGAAAUCCCACGGCUUAACCGUGGAACUGCUCGGCAUACUGGCGGUCUUGAGCCAGCUAGGGGCUACCGGAACAAAUGGUGGAGCGGUGAAAUGCGUAGAUAUCAUUUGGAACGCCAAUGGUGAAAACAGGUAGCUGGGGCUGUGCUGACGCUGAGACACGAAAGCCAGGGGAGCGAACGGG